This 484-nucleotide ribosomal RNA is filed under the name uncultured bacterium. Its description in RNAcentral is "partial 16S ribosomal RNA". It matches the Rfam family "Bacterial small subunit ribosomal RNA", at positions 29 to 507 of the family's 1533-position model. The record is from RNAcentral.
AUUGAACGCUGGCGGCAUGCUUUACACAUGCAAGUCGAACGGCAGCGCGGGCUUCGGCCUGGCGGCGAGUGGCGAACGGGUGAGUAAUACAUCGGAACGUGCCCAGUAGUGGGGGAUAGCUCGGCGAAAGCCGGAUUAAUACCGCAUACGACCUGAGGGUGAAAGCGGGGGAUCUUCGGACCUCGCGCUAUUGGAGCGGCCGAUGGCAGAUUAGCUAGUUGGUGGGGUAAAGGCCUACCAAGGCGACGAUCUGUAGCUGGUCUGAGAGGACGACCAGCCACACUGGAACUGAGACACGGCCCAGACUCCUACGGGAGGCAGCAGUGGGUAAUUUUGGACAAAGGGCGAAAGCCUGAUCCAGCAAUGCCGCGUGUGUGAUGAAGGCCUUCGGGUUGUAAAGCACUUUUGGCGGGAACGAAAAGGACUGUGCCAAUACCACGGUUCGAUGACGGUACCCGCAGAAUAAGCACCGGCUAACUACGUG